CUCGUUCCGCCCGCAACGACUACUACCCCCCCGUCGGACCUUCUCGACCGGUCCGCGAAAUAUUGUCUGACACCCUCUCUAUUCCAUGCGCCACCGUCGACCCGCCAUAUGUCUCACGUUUGUCGGUUUUCAGGGUAAUUAUGAAUUAAAUCUGCUGUUUUUGCAAUGAGCUUCGGCCUCGUCCUGUUUCACUUCCUGCUGUGUCUGUCUGUACAUUGGAAUGGUAACAGGCGACUUGGUGGCUUUUUUUGAGCUGAUCGAAAAUGUUCUAAGUGGCUGGUUGAUCACUUUUGUCGUAUUCAGGGAGAUUAGAUGAUUCAGUAGAAUGGUGAGAUCGAUUUAUUUAAUAAAUUCUGGGUCAGCUGAUUGUCUGAGGCUUUCACAAAAGCCUUCUCUAGAGUAGUUCAUCCUAUCAACGUAAAACUUUACAUGUGCACUGUCCACACUCUAUUUUUUGGAGCAGAGGCCAAGAGCUUUGGUGCACUGUGGGAUGAAUGUUUGUGCUCUGGUAUCGGCAAGCUCAAAAGGUGAUUACAACCUUCCAACUGAUGGCGUCAUUGCAGAAAUGCAACUCACACACUCCAGUUCCCUGUCAGGUAAACAGUUAGCUCUGUCAGCCCUGCUGCCAUUGUUUGCACAGUUAGCGGCGUUAGUUGUAAGCCGGAGACUGGGCUGCUGCCAUGUUGACAGCCAGAGGCAAUAGAAUUCUGUAUGUUCAGAAUUUUUCUCCAUUCUGUAUUCAGCACCUUUAAUUAAGUUGUAGUGGAUACUCUUAAAAUAGUCAUUACAAUCAUUUCAAAUGAGUUAAGCUAAAAUAUUACCCACUAGCGACUCCAGACGUACCACCCUAUGGGGUACAAGAACCUCUGGUCGGGAAUUACUACUGGAAAGUAUGCAGCCAGCAUCUGAAUUUGCAGGUGUGGUGUAAAAGAGAGAGAGGGAGACAAAGAGGAAGAUAUCUUAUCUCGCUAGCAUAGCAAGGAUAUAUUUCCUAUACAGUUAAAUUAUCUAUGCUAGACUCAUCGCAGUCAUUGGACACACAUUAAAUCAAAAGACUCAGAAAUAAAAAGAAUUUCCUUCAUCCUUUCAUUAGAGACUUUAUCCAACUUUCAUUCCUCUAUUUAUCUAUCUGCGAGAGCAUUCAUGUGUCACUUUCUCUUAUCCUUGGAGACAAGCAUGGAGACAAUGGUUCCACUGCAGCAUUUCCUUCUGUUCUGUCUCUGCUCAGCAAAACAUGACGGAACAAAUGAACCAAUUAAGUGUGCUGGUGGCUGUGCUGUCCCUGGGGGGGCAUCUAAGGAACUGAGACGGCCUGAUUAGCUCCAAGGUAGGCCUGACUGGAGACAGCCUGCUAAGAGUGAGAAAAGCUCCCAUAGUGUGAACACACACCACUUGGAAGUGCACCUGUGUGUAUCGCCCUCUAUGCUCUUGGCAUUUUGAUUGGUCUUGAUUGGUGUCUAAGCUGUUUUUAACAUCACAUUUUUACAGAGGGGCACACACAAACAAAUGUGUGUGUCAGCGGGGCAGUACGAGCGGGCUUGAUGAAUGUGCUGGGGAUUGUAAUCUAACAACAGACGCAAACCUUAUAGCAAGCAAUAUCACCUAAAAUGUGGGCUACAUGAUAAGACAACAAAUCACUUUCAUGAGUGACUUUUCCAGUUAAGGAGUCCAGGAAUGUCCAAGGUACUCUAACUUUAUUUCCAUUGAUCCCAUGUGCUUCAGGAACACCUAGAUGGUUCCGUUGACUGUAAACAAGAAUGAUCAGUUAAUACUUGGAGUAUUGAUCCAACGUAACCCUCUAACAUUGAAUCUCUUUGAAGAUACUGUUCAAUCUUUCUGUUAUCACACAGUUGAAACUUGUAGGUUCUCUUGGGACGCUAAACGUUGCUUACAGAGAGACAUCUACAGCUGCCUGUUAACAAAGUAGAGGUUGCAAAACGGACAACAAAAGUUGGCCUGGCCAUUUCACUUUUUCAAAAAGAAAAAAAUGUUUAUUUCUUCAGGAAGUUUUAUAUCAGCUAGAAUUGGCCAUGUUCAAUUUUGACAGAUAAGCAUUGGCAUGUUAUGGGAAUAUCCAGAAUAAAACAGCUGACCAGUCAUAUCAUUUGAAUGUUUAGAAUCUAUUCUUCAAAGAUUAAUUUUCAUUCAUUCAUUGCCCUAAAGGAGCAACCGUAAAAACAUUUCCAUCCUAUAAAUAAGUUCUAAGGUGACAUUUCAAAAUGUGCUUGGGAAUUCACCCCGAAUACACCCGCACUACUCCGCUCCUGCGCUCCUGUGACUGGUGUAAUGGGGAAAUGAUAUGUAACCCUUUCAAAUGCUUCAUUUGUAUAACCAGUUUAUUAAUUGCAAGUGCUUAGAUGACAAAGGCCCUGACAUAAGAACUGACGUCUGCCACUUGGAUUAGAUGUUUCCAGCGUCAUAGCUGUAGAGAUUAGAGAAGUGUUUGUUAUGUCUAUGACCACAUUUGUUUUAGCAUGUUGGGAGAGCAAGGACACGGUCAAAGAACUGACGUGUCUUACAUGGAUAAGAUGUUCCCAGUACCCUGGCUGUAGAUACUCAACAAGAUGGUCAAGGUUUCUGUUGACGCCACCGAUAUCUAAACUUAGGUAUAAGAACUGCCUCGAUGUGUUGGGGGCAGAAAGAGGUUCUUGACAGUCUACUGACCACGUAGCUGUUGUGACCCUCUUUCCCUUGUAAGGAAAUAAACUGAGAAAAGACAUACUUGACUCAGAGCCUUUGUUUUUUACUUAACGAUUGUCUGUGCAAAAUCUUCCACCACACUGGUUACCAGUAGCUGCCGGCAUCCAUUUAGGAACAUUGGUAUUUGCGUACCGUGCGGCAAACAGAUCAGGUCCAGUCUACAUCUAGAACAUGGUCAAACCUUACGUCCCUGAUCUGCCAAUCUGCUUAUUGCUCCCUCACAGAGAGCGAAACACUCAACAAAACCCAUUUUGUUUGUCUAUACAGCUUCCAACGCAAACUCAAAACACACCGAGUUCUUAAAUCUCCAAUGGGACACACACACUAAGCUGUGGUGGUGGAAAAGUUGGGACAAAAUAUGUGUUUAAUCUCCCACAAAGGUAAUGUGUACUGCAUUGUAGCUGAGCUACACACGUCAUGGGAGGAUUCAUUCUUAGGCCUAUGAUGAACAACAUGCUGAAUGGUUGACAAUGUCACACCAGUUGUUCAAUGGAAAAUUCUUACUCGACACCGGUGUAAAAUAAUUAAACAGGACAUUAAUUAAAUAAUAUUUGCAAGCAGGAGACACAUUGACACACUUACAAAGUUAUGGAUCAAGGCUACUGAAAGGUCUUCUUCUUCAAAGCGGGAAUAUAUAGAAGGAAGAUAAACAUGCUAAAAUAGAGGGGGCUGUGGGCAAAGACUGCAUAUGUGCUGGUGAUUGAUCUUGAAUGUAGACGACCAUCUUUGGCACCACAACACAUAUCUUGAUUAGGAGAUAACCCAGAACACAAUGUGCCACUGUGUGAAAGAACAGGCUUUUUUUUAUUUUCUAUCAAUUCUAGAGCCAUUCAGCUCUGAUAUUGGCCCUGACUUUUCCAUCCUAUUUUGGGUAUUUUCUGACAUUGUGACAUCCCCCCCCCUCUCUUUCCUGUCAUCGCUAUUCCGACAAGAUCUGCAGUUUCCUGUCCUAGGGGGGAGAGUGGAACAUUCAAAACCUCUUCAUCUCCAAGGCAAUUUUGAGGCACCUUGUCCCCCAUGGUCAAUUUGUCACCAUGCUGAACGCCAGGAGGUGUCCUUGGGGCUGACCAUUGGUCAUUGCUCCACCUGACACUCGGAGAGGAAGAAAAAGAAGGAAGCAUAAGGAGAGAGGCAGAGGAGCAUGGGAGAGAAUGAACCUGACAAAGGCCCCGCAACAGAUCCGUCCCACUCAGCAGAGCCAAGGGAGUAUGCAGCCGGCUGUCAGCACCUCUCAUUAGUCAAAGGCAGCCUCCUUGACAAUGUGACACUGAUUACUGAAAACCCUGAUUCAGAGUUUCUCUCCUUCUCUGCGUAGCCGCAAACAGUGUCAGCUAAAGCUGCAUGCACAUGUUCACUCACACACACACACACACACAAACACACCCCAGUUCAAUCCACUCUCUUUUCUCUCCGAAAUACUUGAAGUGCAUUUCAUUUCAUUAUUCCCUUCCCAUCUCCAGGGGGACUAAAGCCUUCAUUAAAAAGAGUGAUAAAGGGCAAACGGGUGUCUUCCAGCUCUAUUUAGAAUCUAUUUAUUGAUUUCAAAUGGUGUAAAUAAAUAUGGAACGGCAUUAUUGUAUACAGAGGCCUUGACACUGGCAGAAGUUGUGGAAUUAAAAGGGAAUGAAGAGUGGCAUUCAUUAAGAGUUUAUCAUUUUUAUCGAUCCAGCUGACAUGUCUCAGCACUCAGGAGGAUCUGAUUGCUUUUACUUAAUCACUGCAUAGAUUGGAAAGGAGGAUUGAAAUUAAGUAUGGGUUCAGAUAUAAGAAUUGGUAUUGUCUACAAAUAUCGAGUAGAAUACUGUCAGUUUUGACUUUCUUGGAGACUCAGGCUCCUAAGCAUGCUGAUAGAUUUCACUAACAAACACUGCACUACACAACGCAUUGCAACAUCAGUACCAGUACACCAAAAAUGCAUCCAGCUCAUCCUUUCAGAGCUCUGAGAUGUACCACACAUAUCAGCGUAGCAAAUCAUAAUUACAAUUUUUUAACUUCAUAGAUGUACACUGCAGAUUUCACAAUGAUGGCGCAAAUAUUUUUGGAGUUUUGGAGUGUAUAUGGAAAAUACCUUUGGUAUUCUAUUUUGUUUGUAAUCACAAUUUCUUAUACAUAACUUUCUUUGUGCCAAGCCACUAGUAACGUGGGCCAGGAUCCUGAUCCAUGAGGAGAUGACUGAUACAUAUAACAACAAUAACAACAAUAAUGGUUAAUUAUCUUCAGGUGUCAAAAGUAUUCACAUUGAUUACUCUGGUAGAAGUAUAGAUUCUAGGGUUUAAAAAGAGUUUUGUAGAAAGUAUCAACCAACUUUCCACCGACCAUUUUUUGCACCCGGCGUCACUCUGAUCUGCAGGAGCAUCGCGGAGAAAACCAAUAGGGUGUCUGGAUGGUAUUUGUUUAUACUUCUCAUCCAACCACAAUCACAUUCACUCUAUCUGGAUUUAUCUGGAUAGUUUUUUUUGUGUGUGUAUUUUUGAACAAAGACAAGCCAGAAGUAACAAGGCUAUUUUUAGGCUAAAUGUAAGGAGUAGAAAGUACAGAUAUUUGCGUGAAAAUGUAAUGAGUAGAAGUAAAAAAGUUGUCUGAAAAAUAAAUACUCUAGUAAAGUAUAGAUACCCAAGAUUUCUACUUAAGUAUUUGUACUUCGUUACUUGACACCUCUGAUUAUCUUAUAUAUGUUUCAAAGUUGUUGUGUGGUUACAACUAGGACCUUUUUUAUCUUAGAAUUUAUUCUAAUUUUGCAGAAAAUCUUUUAUGGGAGCUCAAUGCGGAUGACCUCAUACUUUAAAUAAUUUGGUGCAUUCAAUGAAAACAGAUAGCUUAAGUAAAUUUGUCUUUAUUCUUGAGUGCUUGGCCAGUGUUAAACCACUGCGUCAACAGAUCAUGUGGGUCAGAUGAGCCAAAGCUAGAGGAAUAGUACUGCUAAUGGGAAAAGCGCUUUCUAACAUUAGUUGACUGCUUAGCAGAAGCGUCAUACCUCACCCACAUGUCCAUGAAGGGAACCUCCUCUCAUUCACAGACUAAACUUAAAGAUGCUGUAAGGAAUUUUCAUGCAAAAAUCCAAGGUUGAGUCAACAGGCUGACAGUGUCGGAACAGGAAGUACAUGAACAAUAUCAGGACACGCUGGAGAGCGUGGCAAUAACUCAGAAGACAAUCUGGCAGAGGACAAGUGUAAUUGAGAAGACCUAAAGUGAGGGACUAAUGAGAGAAUGGGCUACAGGGGAGAAGGGCGUGAGGACCAUGGUGAAGGGAAUUAGAGAUGAUCUGGAAUGACAGGAGAGUUCAUUAAACAGGCAGGCAGUAUGGAAACAACUAAUAAGGGGAAGAAUUUAGUUCUGCUAAGAACACUGCGUCCAAAUCAUUGGUUCCAAUGAGUAUUCAUAUUCUGCUGACAGUGUUCAUCUCUGAUUAAAAAUGAACACCAUCAGCUGACUGAAUCAAAGAGGGAAUGCUCAUUUUCAUGUAAUAUUAUACUGAUACCAUUUGAGAAACCCAUAGGCUCAAUAGGAUAUAUUAGUUUACAUAUAAACCACCUUCAAAGAAGAUGACUAAAGUGGAAAUUGAGCUUUUUCUUUAAAGAGCUAAAACUUUGAAAUAUCUUCAGCUAAGUUGAGUUUCAUGAAGAAACAGCAAGCAGGGGCUGUGAGAGGGGAGGUGACGGUGGGAGACACUCCCUGCCUCUGCAAAAGGCCCUUUUCGUGUGGCUACUUUGAGGGCUGGCGCCAGGAAGCUUGACCCCUGUGCGAAGAGUGUCUACCCUGCCCUUCAGGCGCUAGCCUAGCAAGGGCAAGGAUUAAAGGGAAUUUGUAGGGAGUCCUUUAGCUCUGCAAUUCACACUUCUACACUGCGUUUGUGCCACCUGUGGACUUGCCGGGGGGAGCGCGGUCGGUGAGCCUUUGAUUGAUCCACGUGGCGUUUUGACCUAACAGGGUUCCGCCUCCUAUCUAUACUAGAAAGCCUGCAGCUAGCUCCCACUGAAAGUUGAGAGCAUUUCUCUCUAGGUCUCCUGUGUUUCAGCCUCCCCGACAUGAAUACUAAGUAAUCACUCCAUGGCGCAGUUCAUUUAUCCCCACUUAACCCUCUGACCAAUUGACUGCUUCGCUUGUUUGUCAAUCUGCCUUCACAGUGAUGCAAGUAUGCGGAAUCCUCCUCUUUAGAGAGUUGCUAUUGUAACUGCAAUGCAUUGCACAGUGUCUACUUGUCAGUAUACAGGGGGUAUAUUAUGUAUCAGACGCUGCAAUCCUCCCUUCUCACUAUCUGGGCUCUAACAAGGGCAGGAUAACAGCUAGAUUGACAGCUGCUGGGGCAUCUUAACAGCCUUGGUGUUAAACUGAUAAACUCUGAGGAGGCAUGUUUGAUUGGCUGCCAAACCACACAGAACACAAACCCACAGCAUUCACUAUUACCAUUUUCCAAAUGACCAUAAGCUUUCCCAAGGAUGGAAAAAAAACAUAUUGAGUUAUUUCUAUAGAUAUGCAGCAGACUAGUUGUACUCGAUUAAUUAAAAAGUUUAGCUCUGGAUUAUUGGGGCAAUGUGUGUUUGUGUGACAUUUAGUCAUUUUAUUAUAUGUAUCAGUCAUCCCUUAGAUGUUAGUAAAUGAUGGGCUGAUUAUUAAUACAUGUUGAUAUAAAUGAAACAUUAGUCAUUGUUAAAGUAAAUUCUGUCAUAAACAUACCAAGCGUCAUUAAAGAUUCACAGAAAGCGAUUAUGUUAAUUAUUUUCUGAUACAAAUGACUUUCCAUCUAUCUGAAGUUAUUAUGAACAAAUAGUUUCUACAUGAUUAAUAGGUAGCAAGAUAUUAUUUUUGGGACUGGUUUCUGGUUUUGGAACUCCAUCUAAUGAAACUCUACAUUGAGAAGUUCCAAUUGUGAGCAAACUCUUUCUGCUGAUGUAGCCCAUGAGAUAUGAUAAAAAAAAAUCAAAUGCUUAAUGUGAAGUAUGAGUUCAUUUUCUACUUUGAAAUUGACAAAACAACCCAGAGCUUUCUAGUCAGCUUUCUAUCUAUUUCUGAAGCUUUCUGUUGUGUCACACAGUCCAGCGUUGGCUCCCUUCAAUUGUGUGUCAUUUGUCAUUUAAAAGCCUACAUGGACUGGAAGUCUUUAAAGUGCUCCAGGGUGGAAUCAUUACUGAGUUUGAAUGUCCCCAUCUCCAUGACAACUGAAUAAAAGAAGGGUUGAUGAAGCCCAUGUGAUACAGUUAAAAGCUCGAGACGUGGCUGAUAAACAAUCCUAAAUUAGUCUGUUUGGUAGAAAUGAAAAUUACCAUUUACUGUCUAAACAGUGGUAGCUGCGUACCCUGUGCACAUUUUUCUAUUUUUAAAGGUGUUGCGUGAGAAAAUGUUUCUGAAAAAUAUUUUUUUCAAUUUAGAAUUUACAAAAAGCUCCUCAGUGCUAGUCGGGCACCUGUUGUGUGGCGAGUAAAUUCAGAGGGGAAUGAAAAAACUAACGCUCUUGUAGAGUUUGCCAGUUCUUUUUUUUCACCACCAUGUCUUUCCAAAACAGAGGGAAAGUUGAAAACACCAUUUGUCAGUGCACAUUUCAUCUGAGCUGUUAUGGUCCAAAGAGAAAGCCCAGUAUGUGGCGCCUUUCAACAGAACAUGGUACCAGGCCUUGUUAUUUGGACUCGGCUUUGUUCUCCAUGAAGGCUUAUUAUCAUUACUGACUGAGAAUUACUGGGCCAGAAUGCCACCAUUUUAAAAUACAUAAAAAAUGUGAACACUGAACACAGUGUCUAUGCCUUCAAUAGAUAUUACAAUUAAAAAUGAAAUUAUACCAAAAACAUUGAAUUGAUUUUCUCAAACAGCCAUACUUGAACCGUAUGUGCAGCUUUUAUGAGUGAAAGUGUAUGUGGCCUACAGCUGGUUAGUGCUACUGUCUUGCAUGAAAAAGUCAGUGAUUUAUAAGCACUGUGACUGUAGUCACUUUGUAGUCACGUUUAAUUGACUCGGGGGUGAUUUAAAGUUAUAGAUCUUCCAAAAAUCACAAACAUGUUCUUCCUGGCUGUACUAUUAAUCAAAUUAGUUUUGUCUAUGUUGUCUAGUUUCAGUGACAUCAACUCUAGGGGUCUCCUCAAAUAUUUUGGGGGUAUAUGGACCUCUGACCCAGAAAUUAUCACCAGUUAAUUUAAGAUAAUCCACAGGCCUUGUUCAUGUAAAACAUGUUUUCUGAAUAUACAUAAACAGAGCGAGAGUGUAAGACCGGACGUCCUCAGCUGGGACAGAUCGGGCAGAUGUUGAGGAUGAAGUGCAAUCAGGUUGAAGCGCCUCCAAUACAUGGAACAUGAACACCUACACACACACACACACACACAUACAGACAGACAAAGAAAUCACAAUUGGAAAAAAAGGAGGCAUGGAUUGAUAAAAAGCAAUACAGGUAAGGGGAGCAAUGUUGAUUCUUUAUUUUCGAGUGAACAGACACUUGUAUUCAAGUACUAACUUAAAAUCAUCCAACAACUUAAACCUAUGCUGCAUAACUAACGCAAUACAAUUCACCAUGGCUGGCUUUCCACCGGUAGCCUAGCGCGUUACAGUAUUAGCGACCCAGCUAGGAUAGUCCUGGGCGGCUGAAGCGAGUGAACGUCAUUCACUGGGAUGAUUGGAUUGAGGCAGACCUAAGCGUACCUCGAGCUGCACUUAUCAGCUAGCUGGCAGAUAGGACUUGUCAUACUGCCUGUCAGAUCUGAUGAGGGGAGCAUGAGCUUCACAAUGGAGCUAAAAUGCAAUCUCCUCCUGUGCAGCUGCAUCCCCUGCCUCAGGGACACGCUUAUUAGACGUUGUAAACAGCCAAAUGUGAGCGCUAAACUGUAAGAGCUACUGUCAGGCAGCGUGCGUCAGCCAGUUAGCCAAAGCUGGGAGCAAUUCCAUACAAAACUACUGUUGUAGUAAAGGGCCUCACCUCUGAAUGGGAGGGCUAUGUGAAGAACAUACACGGUAAAGUUUGUUGCACUGUAUUUUAACUCCAUCUAUGUAGCCUUAAACAUGACUUAUAGAUGAAUAAGUGAAUAAGUUCAAGUUAAAUUAAGUAAUUAAAAAAAAACACUGACAUGGUCCUCUAAGCAAAUAAAUGGGCAACAUAAUUAUUUAACUACGUCCGUAAACUUGUGUAAUCAUCAGAUGUGUAUUAUAUUCUCAAAUGUGAUAUACAUGUCAUGUAUUUGGUACAGUUGUCAAUAACAUGAAUCUACAUUUGGAAGUGCUUUGUCCCACCUGCUUUCCACUACAUUUAAGUGUCUCGUGCAUAUCUAGAAAUAGCCUUUUCAGAAUUAGUGUUCCUUAAACCUCCAAGAUCAAAAAAGUACAAAUCUCUCAUUUGAGAAAGGUGAUUACAGUGCAGCACUAUUCAUAUGUAGCUUCGCAACGUUGCCACGUCUACAAAGGAAAUAAUGAGGGUCGGAGUAAGAAAUAGAGGUCUACACAAAGAAGGGCUGAUUAGCCUUUAUUAGCCCUUUCCUGCUCUUUUAACUCUCACAUCCUAAUAACCAGGUAGAGAGCCCUCGGCUGCACGCAAUGCCAUCAAGACCAGCUUUGCUCUUUUUUUCUUUUCUUUCUUCCUUUCCUUCUUUAUUUGUUCCCUGUAUCAAAAUCACUCCCCCCGUUUAAUAUAUUCACUCUUUCUUCUGAUUUUGGCCCUUUCACCAAAUACCUCCUAGUCCCUCUGAAAUCAUAUUAUGUAAACCGGCGUCUAUGCAUAGGAUUUCCAGAGGAGUCUCAGCGACGUUUAAUAUCUGGCUGAGUACAAAGAGCAAAAGAAAAAGAGAACAGGUUGACGGGAGACUGUGGAGCACAUGUUCUCUGUUCUGCUUUCCUGAGAUCAUUAAUUUCUGCAAAAGAGAUGUCCCCGGGUGAGACUCAUUCACAUGCAGAUGGCACUAUUCCUCGGGAGCCUCUAUCGCUCUUUCUCUCUCCUUCCAUCGGGCCAUUUAGUGCUCCCUUUCUCUCUCUCUUUUGCUGUGUCACCCCCUUCUAUAUUAAGCAAACGGUUCACUUCGCAGCCUUUAGGUGACAUAGCACUCAUAUUUCAGCACUGGGGUACAGGAGUAAUGCGUUGUGCCGCUAUGGAUACAUUACAUGAAAAUUUGUCUCUUUUUAAAAGAGAGCGAAUUCAGGGAGGGUGAGAGAUGAAGGCAUUUAUCUAUGGAGAUAAUUCUCUUCGGUUUCUUUCCAACCAAAAUGUCCAUUUUUCUUCACGCUCCUCACGCUUGACACGCGGCUGAAUAUCUGGCCUUCAUGUUGCGAUAUAAUGCUAGUUCAUCCUACACAUAUCAAGCCACAAGUUGUUUGUUUUGUUUUUUAUAGUAGACGCUUCCCAACAAAGAGGACAGGUCUGUGGCCUUGCUGCUGUCGUGGCCAUUUUAACGGUUGCUGUGUGUCUAAAAUUAAGAAACGCCAGAUGGACAGAAGACCUCUUACAAUCAAAAGAAUUUAAUAAAAGGAAAGGCGUUGUGCUAAAAAGAACAUCUCAGCUGAGGAGCAGCUGGUCUCUGCAAUCAACAGGCCACAGGGCAGCUCGUUCACCACCCAUUGUGACUGUCUCUUCCUCCUACCAACGAACUCCUGGAACAAUGGGGGGCUACAGGUAUUUAUACAGAUCAGUAUAUAUGUGAAAGGCAUUGUCCACUUCUGGCAUGUGACUUCUCCUGGUGCGUUCAUUGUAACUCGGAUUUCGAAUGUCUCUUGGUCAAUAUCAGUUGUGGUGUUAUCAAGUAUUACAUGCAUGCAUAUCGGGUUGAUUACAUUACAUGGAAUACAAACACUGCUGUGCAUCUGUAUUAUUCUAUUGAUUACAGUUUCAAAAUUACAGUGGUGUUACAAUAUUCUCAUUUCUUUAUUGAUUACAUAGAAUCAUAGCUGUAUACUGGUGUAAUCUAAAUGCAUUAUUAAUUGGUCUAAGUCAUGAACUGGGACAUCAGUUUCUUUAUCCACACUGUCAAUCUUUAGUUUGCAUCUUCUCACCGUCUAACAGCAGCCCCUGCGUUGGUGUGUGCCGUGGUAGUAAUUAGUCAUUAGUGACCCGUUAGUGCAGGCAUUUGUGCCGUAACUCUGCGGCGUUGGCUGCAAUCACUCACCACCUCUUCUCAUCCCUCUCUUUUUCCAGUUCAUGUUCAACCUGAUAUACUUUGAUGACACACUUCUUUGAAGACCUGAUCAAAGACGCAGCCCUUUGAUGAAAAUAAUGUUUGCUGUUGGUGAGGGGGUAAGGAGGAAUACCAAUCGUAUUUUUCAGGGAGAGACCGAGAGAGCGAGAGAAGGGAAGGAAGGAAGGAAGCAUACCGUUCAACGGAUACGUCACUCUCUUUGCAAAAUAUCAAGUUUAUUAAGACUGUUUCCAACUGAAAAUAAUAUGCUAAUCAAGUAUUCUUUUUGGUUACAAUGAAGGGGUGAAAUGCAAAGCUACUGUCUAUCUAUUUGAGAUAUCAAUUAGUCGAGAAGUGAACAAAAUACAAAAUGUCAUGACAUUCUAAAGCAAUACCUACACAUUUAACCAAAGUACAAAGCCUCAAUGAGGCAAUAGAAAAAUCUCACUGUUAGCAUGGUAGCUUGUUAACGUUUGCAAACUAGCACCAAAAAUAAAGUACUUAGUGUUUCCCUUAGGUUUACAACUUCAGGGGGGUUUAGUAGUCGGGCAGAUGGUCCGGGCAGUAGAGUGAGCUUGGUUUGUAGGGGAGGGGCAGGUGAUGUAUUAUUCGGUUAAAAGUCUAAUAGUGCCGGGAGGGCACCCCGGCGCUCGCAGCAGCGGGGCAGAGAGCGCCAGGACUUAUUGCCGACUUAUUGCCGACUUAUUUGCGCCACCCUGUUAUAACGGUAGGGGAAACACUGAGUACUGUACAGAUUGGGUUAAUGUGAUUGUGUUUUGCAGGUGCUUGGUUUAAACCCAAAGUGUUGGAUACGAUCCAACCAAUAUGGUUUUUACCUGAUGAUGAUAGUGGUUUAUGAAAAUGAAGGGAUCACUAAAGUGAUAGAUGUUACAUUUACGCACCAAACACCAGGCUAGUCUCCACUUGUCACAUGGCCGUGUAUCAGUUGUUGCGUUUCCCCUAUCCUAAUUUUUAGAUUUUAUCCGUUGCGUUCUUUGCACCGGUGUGCUCUUGUGCCCGGUGAGAACAGAGCAGAAGACGGAGCCGGGCAUCUGUAUUCAGGUGCACUAAUGGAAUCACUGAGGCUAAAAUGGCAGGAGGUGAAAGGUGAGUGCACAGAAGACAGCUCCACACCACUGCUGCUGCUGUGCCAAACCGCUCGACUGUGAUAGUAUGGGAAGGUUGUGCGCUUCAGCGUGCCUGAAUAUGUGUGUGUGCAUAAGUGAGAAUGCAAUAGGGAGUUUUUUUUGUGCUCGGAUGGUUGUGGAAGGAAUUUCGCAAUCAAUUUAUUUUUGUUCAAAGGCAUUUGUCUUUUGUUAGUUUCACUCUGCUGUGGGUUUUGAAAGGUUUGCUAUCCGAACUGUGUGCUGGGAGUUACUAACAAAAUAGCUAUUGACUUUCCAUUCUCUAUAUAGUUUAGCUCUACUGAAGGUGUGGUUCAAUGCAUAGCUUGACAUGAAAAUAAAUCUCAUUGUAUGUACAUUGCGGGGGUUAUUGGUUGCUGUAGAAGUUUUACACAGGAUUUGUUUGCCAAAGUUGAAAACAAAAAAGCAAUAGUAAAGGCCUUUACCUAAAAAUCUGCUUUUUAAAGGUAAUUUUAAUAAAUCCCCAAAAUCCAAAAUCACGAGGGGAAAAACACAGACACGGACCAGUAACUCACAGGCAAGACAUUUACGAGCACGAACGGCAUUCAGGGUUGAACAUUCAAUGACGCGACAAGGGACAAGAUACACACAUGGCUUAAAUACACUGGGAAGGUGCAGGGGAUUGGACACAGGUGGAAACAAUUAUGGAGACUGCAGACAAUCACAGGAGAUGACAGGACAAGGCAGGAAGUGAAGUUAACCCAGGGACACCAGAGGCAUGAAACUACAAAAUAAAACGAGAUGUGAACCCAAACCGUGACAAUCUACAGCUAACAUAUAUACAUUUACAUUACCUGUAUAUGAUGCUAAAGCCGUAUACUCCACUGAGUAGAAUUAGUAUGCAGUUUGGGAUACGUUUGAGAUCUGUACUUUACGAUUUCCCAUCUUUAUUUUUGACAGAAUAACCAGCAUGUUUUAUGCUUCAUAAAACAGCACUGAAAUUGAUAAGUCAGAAUUAUCUGGAAGUUUUGUUCGAAGCUUUUGGCUCAGUCUCCUUCUCAAAAACAAACUAUUUCCCAGAUCGCUUCCUGGAAGAAAUUACACAGUAGGCUGUCAAAUCAAUUCUUGCAUGUUCCAGCCAGAGCAACAAGAGUCGAAGCCUGAAGAAUUGGCCUCAGCCAAUUAGCUUCAGACUUGUGAAGAGGCGGCAGAGGAAGCAUAUUAGGCAGACCCACAACAAUAUGAGAAAUUGCAGAAAGAAGCAUAGGCAGCAAGUGAACCGCAAGUCAGAGGUUGCUUUGCCACAGCGUGUCCAGAGUACAACAAAUCAACAGUUUGGCUAUUUGGUUUGAACUAGCCGGGCUAGCUUGAAUAAUAAACAAAGACCAGCGUUCUGCCACACAACUGGGGAAGAUCAAGACUUUGCUGUGGGGAGCCAGUUGUGUAGUAACUGAUUCGGUUUAGACGGUAGCGCAAGGGACUGCCUGUGUAUGUGACAGAGGGGGUUGUAAUAAUGGUCUUUUUAUCCGAAGAUACAUUGGGAAAAACAACCAAUGGCAGCAGAAUAAAGACAUUGGAAAACCUUCUUGUGGGUUCCAUCAAUUGUUAUCACAGCAGAUUGGGGUGUGAUGAACUUUGGAAAACACAUGAAAAGAUACUGUAAAAUAACACCGAAAGAGUGGUCUUAUUGCAGCAGUCACAGCAGAACGGGGUAUGUGAUUUGUUCUAAGCUAGAUGGAUACACCAUAUUUUUUUCACAGCCAGCUCCCGCAAGGUCCCUCACUGGAAUACACAGAGUAGUCAGCUUUUACCCUGCACAGCCACACACACACACAGCUUUAAAGGUAUACCUCAUAUAAACAUGCACUCCAAAAUUCUGUAAGAUAUAAAUAUAAUAAUUAUGUGACGGUAAAACACAGUAAUUUGUAAUGACAUCACACAUGGCACAGAUUUUGUGCCAGCUUGUUGUGCAGCGUUCAGCCUCUUUGACUCAGCCUAAAUACACACACAACACUUUGGUCACGUAGCUGCUGCUUAAAAUCUCAUUUCAAUUCAGAUCCCUGCACAAUAGUCUAUAAUGUUUAAAAGGCCAAAUAACCGAAAAUAUUGAACCAAAAUGUUGCCCUAAUGUUGUGUUACUGAGGCAAAGGCUGAAUGCUCUAAUUCCAAACAAAGUCAGAAAAGGCUGGAAAAGCUUUUCGGUCUGAGGCCCGAGAAGGAAAUUGGACUUUGGGAAAACGAGGAUGAAAAUUUGACACAUUGUUCAGCUCAAAUGCUCUUCAAAUCCAGGUGUAUGAAUCUGCUGCUAUCUGACUGGAAUGCUUUUACAUGUUUAUCAGAAUGAAAGUCCGGAUGCAUUAAACUUUCCAUUUGAAGCUCCUGGCUGUUGUGUGAAAAGAAGCAGGUCAGGCCAUGAGGGAGAUCGAUGACUUUGAACACCAUCUCCAGGCUGACAGUGGGAGGGAGCAGUUCAAGAGGAAUUGUCCAUUUGGAAAACAGGCAAAAAUACAUGAAAUAUAUAAAACUAAUGUGGGAGUUCACUUCCUGGACACAUGCAUUUAAAAUCUCAAUUGGUUGUAUUAAGAACACAUGUUUUAUAUCACAGAAUAAUCCCACAACACCUUUCACAUUUCACUUAUGUCAACUUAUUUUCUAAAUGUAUCUAAUAAGAAUAAAAACAUUUUAAGAAAUAAUCUAAUAAGACAAAUAUUACAAGCCACAUUUAUAUCUGCUGUUGAGUUGCCAUGUUACGCAAAAUGAAAGCAAAAGAAGAUUGAUACAAAGGAAACAUCUAGAUCUUAUGACUUAUCAUACUUCUUUGCAUGUUAUAUUUUGAUUAUUGUCAACCAAAUGGUACCUCAUUAUUUAGAUGGAAUAGCAAAUUAAAUGGAUUUGAUGCAUUUCUUAUCUGCAAUGUAACCAUGAAUGCAUCAUGUACAGUUCUUGUUUAGCUGCUCCUGAAUGAAGACACCCCCUUCCAGCAUGUCAGAGUGCUUUCUGCCUGUCCAACCCCGCAAAUUUGGACGCUCAAUGUUAAGGAACCGUUUCUUAUCGAUACACGCUCUCUUUUUAGAAUGAUAUUCCAAUGUAUGUUCACUUAGUUUUUACUUUUACUUAGCAACAAUGACAGUCUGAACAUAAACACAGUUGUUAAAAUUGUUACUGAUUACUGUAUUUACAGCUGAUCUGACCAAUUUGUAGAUGGACAUGGAUGGGGCGUAAUUAAACUGGGUUUAACUCUAAAAAUGUAAACGAGAACGCUAUUUUCAAGAAACAGCCAUCCUGACAAUUUAAUUAAAUCAGAGAAACUGCAGUGAAAUAAAGAAAAAUACAAAACGCUACCAUUCAGUCCCCGUUAUGAAAAUCUUAGCCACUGAGGUUUGGCGACUCAGUGUGAUGCUGCACUGUAGUGGGCGGCAGGGCCGACCAGCUGCUGCCAAAGGGAGAUGCAGAGACCGUCCAGCCGAGGAAAAGUCAGCAGGGUGUUUUCUGCCCCACAGUUCUAAAAACCGCUGUGUGCACUUCAAAUCCAGUUGAAAAAAAAAAAAAAAACGUUUUAGGACUGUUUUUCAAAAAUUCAACACUACUAAUUAGAUGGGAAAAGUCCACAAUGUUAUACAUACAGGCCUGUUUAUCCAUCAAGGAGGUUCCUAUUCCUCCUGUGAGACAGGUACAAUGAGAGCAAAAGAUUUGUUAAAUCAGAGAAGAUAACCCUUGAGGAUGUUCAAGCGUACUUGCAAGGGCUAUAACGUUUCAGUGUGGAGAAAACACAUUACUAAUGCAUGGCUUGGAAUUUGAAAGUCAGGGAUGGUCUAAGCAAACGAUACCGUUGGGUGCAUUAUCUAAAAAUGUAUGAUGCAGCGUUCUCUGGGUUUUUAGGG
Long non-coding RNA from Gasterosteus aculeatus aculeatus (three-spined stickleback), 16740 nucleotides. The record is from Ensembl. NCBI's taxonomy places the organism in Eukaryota, Metazoa, Chordata, Actinopteri, Perciformes, Gasterosteidae.